GAUGAACGUUGGCGGCGUGCCUAAUACAUGCAAGUCGAGCGAACGGACGAGAAGCUUGCUUCUCUGAUGUUAGCGGCGGACGGGUGAGUAACACGUGGAUAACCUACCUAUAAGACUGGGAUAACUUCGGGAAACCGGAGCUAAUACCGGAUAAUAUUUUGAACCGCAUGGUUCAAAAGUGAAAGACGGUCUUGCUGUCACUUAUAGAUGGAUCCGCGCUGCAUUAGCUAGUUGGUAAGGUAACGGCUUACCAAGGCAACGAUGCAUAGCCGACCUGAGAGGGUGAUCGGCCACACUGGAACUGAGACACGGUCCAGACUCCUACGGGAGGCAGCAGUAGGGAAUCUUCCGCAAUGGGCGAAAGCCUGACGGAGCAACGCCGCGUGAGUGAUGAAGGUCUUCGGAUCGUAAAACUCUGUUAUUAGGGAAGAACAUAUGUGUAAGUAACUGUGCACAUCUUGACGGUACCUAAUCAGAAAGCCACGGCUAACUACGUGCCAGCAGCCGCGGUAAUACGUAGGUGGCAAGCGUUAUCCGGAAUUAUUGGGCGUAAAGCGCGCGUAGGCGGUUUUUUAAGUCUGAUGUGAAAGCCCACGGCUCAACCGUGGAGGGUCAUUGGAAACUGGAAAACUUGAGUGCAGAAGAGGAAAGUGGAUUUCCAUGUGUAGCGGUGAAAUGCGCAGAGAUAUGGAGGAACACCAGUGGCGAAGGCGACUUUCUGGUCUGUAACUGACGCUGAUGUGCGAAAGCGUGGGGAUCAAACAGGAUUAGAUACCCUGGUAGUCCACGCCGUAAACGAUGAGUGCUAAGUGUUAGGGGGUUUCCGCCCCUUAGUGCUGCAGCUAACGCAUUAAGCACUCCGCCUGGGGAGUACGACCGCAAGGUUGAAACUCAAAGGAAUUGACGGGGACCCGCACAAGCGGUGGAGCAUGAGGUUUAAUUCGAAGCAACGCGAAGAACCUUACCAAAUCUUGACAUCCUUUGACAACUCUAGAGAUAGAGCCUUCCCCUUCGGGGGACAAAGUGACAGGUGGUGCAUGGUUGUCGUCAGCUCGUGUCGUGAGAUGUUGGGUUAAGUCCCGCAACGAGCGCAACCCUUAAGCUUAGUUGCCAUCAUUAAGUUGGGCACUCUAAGUUGACUGCCGGUGACAAACCGGAGGAAGGUGGGGAUGACGUCAAAUCAUCAUGCCCCUUAUGAUUUGGGCUACACACGUGCUACAAUGGACAAUACAAAGGGCAGCGAAACCGCGAGGUCAAGCAAAUCCCAUAAAGUUGUUCUCAGUUCGGAUUGUAGUCUGCAACUCGACUACAUGAAGCUGGAAUCGCUAGUAAUCGUAGAUCAGCAUGCUACGGUGAAUACGUUCCCGGGUCU
This 1372-nucleotide ribosomal RNA is filed under the name uncultured bacterium. RNAcentral's name for it is "bacterial SSU rRNA". It matches the Rfam family "Bacterial small subunit ribosomal RNA", at positions 28 to 1381 of the family's 1533-position model. The record is from RNAcentral.